Long non-coding RNA from Suricata suricatta (meerkat), 504 nucleotides. RefSeq lists it as uncharacterized. Lineage: Eukaryota; Metazoa; Chordata; Mammalia; Carnivora; Herpestidae. The transcript is spliced from 5 exons. The record is from RefSeq and is a predicted model, not a curated record.
GUGACGUCACCAGCCUCAGACACAGCCACUUCCCUACCCAGGCCCAGCCCCCACGCGCUGUUCAGGGGACCCGGACUGGUUCUCCAUUCUCAUGCGGUCACCCAAGUGGACUUGCUCCCCGCACACAGCCCUGGCUCUGAGCUUUGAGGUCUGUGCUGACUUCCCAAAGCCUGGUCUCUGGUGAGUUUAACCUUCCACCUCGGUGCCAAAACCCAGGGAUCGGUAGUGCCAGGUCCCAUCUCCCAGGCAACGUGGGGCUGAAGGGCAGAAGACAAAAACGGUGAUGGUCCGGCCGCUGCCUUUGCCUGGAGUGCCCCUGCCCACGGCAACCAUCUGGCAAACUCCUACUCAUCCUUCAAGACCCAACUUCAAGGGCUCCUCUUCUGUGAAGCCUUCCCAUCAGACCCGAGCAGAAUGACAUCAAGAUAGGGAGACUGGCAUUUUCUCAUAAACGUUGGGACAUGCUGAAAAAGCCACUCACCAUAAAGGAAAAAAUGCAUGUCA